GUGCGAGACCGAUAGCGAACAAGUACCGUGAGGGAAAGAUGAAAAGAACUUUGAAAAGAGAGUUAAAGAGUACCUGAAACUGCUGAAAGGGAACCGAAUCGUUUCUAGUGUCUAUAAUCUGUGACAUAUUUCAUUGGGGAGUGUGUGCGUGUGUAUACCAUGGCAGUGGCUAAUUUAUUGGCUGCGCUAGGUGUGCGUGCUGUAUGUGCUUACUGGUGCCCUGUGUUACGGUGGGACGUCAAAGUAGGUUUGUAUGCUGCGGGAAAUGGCUACUGAGGAGGUAGGGCUUACGCUUGCGUUUGUCUGUUAUAUCUUGGUGGUUGUGUCGUGGUUGAGACUGAGGUGUUCUAUAACGUGCUUUUGAGUGGGUCUGAUUCUCCGUGUGUACCGUGUGCAGAUAGCUUGCUAUGUGUGUGUGGUUAUAUGUGGAUUGAGUCGGACUUUAACUUGUUGCUGUUCGGGACUUUGAA
Molecule: ribosomal RNA, 470 nt
Filed under: uncultured Oomycota
Lineage: Eukaryota; Oomycota
Description: LSU rRNA
Rfam family: Eukaryotic large subunit ribosomal RNA
Source: RNAcentral